Molecule: long non-coding RNA, 271 nt
Filed under: Gossypium raimondii (Peruvian cotton)
Lineage: Eukaryota; Viridiplantae; Streptophyta; Magnoliopsida; Malvales; Malvaceae
Description: long non-coding RNA (GRAI_LNC006575)
Source: RNAcentral
AAAGUUUGAGGGAAAGUAAAUAGGGGGAGUAAAAUUUUGGAGGGAAAAUAUUAAAAAAAAAAAUUGGAGGGGGGAGGGUUUGGGGUAGAUGGGAGGUGGGAUGGGAAGAGAAUAAAAGUUUUAGGGGAAAAGUGGGAGGGAGUAAAAAUUUUGGGGGAAAAUAAAAAGUUUUGAGGGUUUUUGAGAGUAAAAUUUUGAAAAAAAAAUGAAUGGAAGAGUAAAAUUUUGGUGGGAAAUGGAUUUUGGGUAGAUUGGGGGGUUGGGAGGGGAG